AGUGAACGCUGGCGGUAGGCCUAACACAUGCAAGUCGAACGGCAGCACAGUAAGAGCUUGCUCUUACGGGUGGCGAGUGGCGGACGGGUGAGGAAUACAUCGGAAUCUACUUUUUCGUGGGGGAUAACGUAGGGAAACUUACGCUAAUACCGCAUACGACCUACGGGUGAAAGCAGGGGAUCUUCGGACCUUGCGCGAUUGAAUGAGCCGAUGUCGGAUUAGCUAGUUGGCGGGGUAAGGGCCCACCAAGGCGACGAUCCGUAGCUGGUCUGAGAGGAUGAUCAGCCACACUGGAACUGAGACACGGCCCAGACUCCUACGGGAGGCAGCAGUGGGGAAUAUUGGACAAUGGGCGCAAGCCUGAUCCAGCCAUACCGCGUGGGUGAAGAAGGCCUUCGGGUUGUAAAGCCCUUUUGUUGGGAAAGAAAAGCAGCAGGUUAAUACCCCGCUGUUCUGACGGUACCCAAAGAAUAAGCACCGGCUAACUUCGUG
Molecule: ribosomal RNA, 492 nt
Filed under: uncultured bacterium
Lineage: Bacteria
Description: partial 16S ribosomal RNA
Rfam family: Bacterial small subunit ribosomal RNA
Source: RNAcentral